AUUAUAUACUUAUUUAUGUUUUUUGAAGAUAAGAGAAGAUUAUUGAAUCAUCAAUAUAAGAAUAAGGAAUAGUAAUUUUAAUGAAAUUCUAUCUAAAGUAAUAGUUAAGAAGUAUCGUAAGAGAAAGUUGAAAAUAUAGAAGAAGUAGAAUUAGAAAUUCGUACCUUUUGUAUUAGGGAUAAUCAAAUUUAGCUUUUUAAAAAAGAAAUUCCCGAAAUGGGAGGAGCUAGGAGUAUAGAACUUUCAUGUUGCAUAAUGAUAAAAAAUAUUUCUUCUAGUAGUGAUAUGUUAUACGACUUCCAUAUAUCUGGUUUUUUAUGAAAAAAAUUUAAUUUUGCAAUUUUUUUUUAAAGAGGAAAUUAGUUAAAUUAUUGGGCCUGAGCUCGAUAAAAAUAGGUCUAUUAGAAUGAGUUAAUAAAGUUAUUAGAUUUAGGCUUAAAAACUGUCCAUGCUGUGUAUAACGUCAUAGUAAAUAAUAGAAAUCGAUGUAUAAAUUUAUAUAAUUCUAUGGAAGAUAGUAAGAUAUUGUUUUUACUAAAAAAAAAUAAGAAAAAAUGAUUGUAUUAGUAGAAGAUAAUGUGAAUCUAAAAUUAAGACAAGAUAAGAAUUUUAGGAUUUUAUAUAAAGGAAAGAUAUAAAAAAGGAACUCGGCAAAUAUUUUCUUUUGCCUGUUUAUCAAAAACAUGUCUGUUCGGAUUUAUGGAUAGUCUGGCCUGCCCCCUGAAGAGAUUUAAAGGGCUGCGGUACCCUGACCGUGCAAAGGUAGCAUAAUCAAUUGUUUUUUAAUUGAAGACUGGAAUGAAUGGUCCGACAAGAAGAAAGCUGUCUCUUUUAUAGAAUUUGAAUUUAACUUUUAAGUGAAAAGGCUUAAAUAAUAUAAGGGGACGACAAGACCCUAUAAAACUUUUAAACAACUGGUCUACGUUUCUUUCAAAUUAAAGCUGAGUAUUGUACUAGUGUAUUACGUAAAGAACGAGUGGGCCUAUAUUGUUCUACUGGGGCGGUAGUGAUAUAAAAAAUUAACUGUCAUGAGAAAUUUUCGUAUAAGAGCAUACAUUUGAAAUAUUUUGUAUAAACAAAAUAAACAUAAUAAAUUAAUAUAUAUAUAUAUAUAUAUAUAUAUAUAUAUAUAUAUUUAUGUUUUAUGAAAAAUAAUUAUAAUUAGUUAUAUUGAUCUUCUAUUAGGAAUUAAGAGAGUGAGUUACUUUAGGGAUAACAGCGUAAUUUCUCUUGAGAGUGCAAAUCGACAGAGUUAGUUGCGACCUCGAUGUUGAAUUAAGAAAUACGAUAAGGCGUAGAAGCUUUAUAAGUAGGUCUGUUCGACCUUUGAAAUCUUACAUGAUUUGAGUUCAAACCGGCGAGAGCCAGGUUGGUUUCUAUCUCUUAUUAAAAUAUAAGUACCUUUUUAGUACGAAAGGAUUGAGAGGUAAUAAUAAUUAUUUCAAUUAUUGAAGAAAAAUAAUAAUUCUGG
Molecule: ribosomal RNA, 1471 nt
Filed under: Lysmata vittata
Lineage: Eukaryota; Metazoa; Arthropoda; Malacostraca; Decapoda; Hippolytidae
Description: 16S ribosomal RNA
Rfam family: Archaeal large subunit ribosomal RNA (bases 619-1471)
Source: RNAcentral